AACAUUGGUCAAUGGAGGCAACUCUGAACCAGCCAUGCCGCGUGCAGGAUGACGGUCCUAUGGAUUGUAAACUGCUUUUGUACAGGAAGAAAAAGAGUUACGUGUAGCUUAUUGACGGUACUGUAAGAAUAAGUAUCGGCUAACUCCGUGCAAGCUGCCGCGGUAAAACGGAGGAUCCAAGCGUUAUCCGGAAUCAUUGGGUUUAGAGGGUCCGUAGGCGGACUUAUAAGUCAGCGGUGAAAGUUUUUGGCUUAACCAAAAAAUUGCCGUUGAUACUGUAGGGCUUGAAUUUUUGUGAAGUAACUAGAAUAUGUAGUGUAGCGGUGAAAUGCGUAGAUAUUAGGAGGAACACCAGUGGCGAAGGCGACUCUCUGGACUGCAACUGACGCUGAGGCACGAAAGCGUGGGGAGCGAACAG
This 418-nucleotide ribosomal RNA is filed under the name uncultured bacterium. RNAcentral describes it as "partial 16S ribosomal RNA". It matches the Rfam family "Bacterial small subunit ribosomal RNA", at positions 360 to 775 of the family's 1533-position model. The record is from RNAcentral.